AGAGAUUGAGAGUUCAGACAGCUGCACUAGACAGAGUUUUAGAUAAGAGUCAGGACAAUAAUCUCUCUCAAAUGUCCUUAAUUCCAUCAUUAGAUUCCCUCUCUUCCUGGCUUCCGCUUCAUAACUUUUAAAUACACCCCUCAAAAGCCCCUGGCAGCUGUGUCUCUGUUCCGAAAACUCUUUCCCACCGCUGGCUGGGAACGGCUGGGAAUUCCGCAUGGCGUUCCAGAAUGGAGCGGUCUGGAUAAUGGGUCGAGUUUGAAGCCACAGCUGGUGGGCAGCAAGUCAGCCGUUCCAAUCCCCAGACUGGAUUACCAUCUCUCUAUUCUCAGUGCUGCCUCUCUUUCUUCCUUUCUCUCUCCGCUACUGCUUUCUAUCAAUCCAUGGGCUGGGCCACCAUCUCUCUCUCUCUCUCUCUCUCUCUCUCUCUCUCUGCUCUCUAGCUAACAGGCUUUACUAAUCCUGUGAAACCAAACCACACACCAAGAGUAGUGUGUUCUGACUCAGUUGGGAAAAUAUCCUGCAAACCAACAUGUUAGCAGCAGACUAAAGAAAACAGAGCUGAGGUGCUGAAGACAACAUGCAUAGACAACUCUAAUGUACUCGUCUUCUUGCUCAGUUGUGCACCGGGGCCUCCUACUGAACUGAAGAGAUAUAGCUCCCAAAACAUGAAUAACUCCCAGACACACAGAUAAUAAUCAACUUUAAAAUGAAGUAGAAUGUUACACAGUCUAUUAAAUAUUUAUACUUGUUCAUAUUUAUUGCCAGAUUGCUGAUGUUGGUUCAGUCUCUCUGUGCCUGACUAAUGAAAGCCCACGUUAAUGCUCUCUCACCUGAUCCUCUUCAUCCACUUCCUCUCCUCAGUGAGUCUCUGUAGAGACGCAGUGACCCUGGCUAGGAGUUCUGGCCACGCCUCCUGGGACAUCUCUGGAGAGAAGGAAGAUAGUGAGAAAAGGUAGCCAGCAUGACCGUAUAUGGCUCUGCUAGAUGUCAAUAAGCCAUGCCUCUAGGUAGUGUGGUUUGGCCACACUGAUAACACUGCUGUAUUAG
Long non-coding RNA from Oncorhynchus tshawytscha (Chinook salmon), 1050 nucleotides. The record is from Ensembl. NCBI's taxonomy places the organism in Eukaryota, Metazoa, Chordata, Actinopteri, Salmoniformes, Salmonidae.